Molecule: long non-coding RNA, 639 nt
Organism: Salvia miltiorrhiza (redroot sage)
Lineage: Eukaryota; Viridiplantae; Streptophyta; Magnoliopsida; Lamiales; Lamiaceae
Exons: 2
Source: RefSeq, a predicted model, not a curated record
GAGUAUUAAUUAUUCAUUAAACUUGUGUGAAGCCCACGACUUGUAUGAAGCCCACGACGCGCAACUCACACGCCUCAAAAUUUCUAUACUUUGAUUUUCAACUUCAUUUUCACUACUUUUUUGGGAAUCCUUGCUGGCAGAAAGUUCUUCCUCAGCCCACGCAAAAUUCUAUCAAAGAGUUUUCACUUCAUUCAGAUCUCAAGACAAUUUCACAAGAAAAAGGUCUCUACUUGGAUAAAUCUAUAUCGAUUUGAAGCAGAAAUGGGGCGCCACCACCACCACCACGGCCACGGCCACCACGGAGACGAUAACCCUAUUGUGGCUUGUUGUUGCUGCCCUUGCUUGGUUGUUGCGUCGCUGUUCGGAAUGAUCGGACGGUGCGUGUUUGUCGCCUGCUAUCCUUUAUUGCAGUGCUUCGGUUUCGAUGACCACCACCACCACCCCCACCACCACCACCGCCACCAUUUUUAAUGAUUUUAUUCUAUUCGAUAUUAAGGAUUGAUGAUGAUGUUACAAUAUUUGGUAUGUUAUCAUAUUUUGUUGCCUUUUUCUUUCUUGUGAUUAUGUGACAGCUGGCAUCUUCAUUGUAUUUGUACCUACCAAUACCAAUUAUAAUUGGGAAUUAUUAGCUUUUGAUAA